CCCUUAGAUGUCCUGGGCCGCACGCGUGCUACACUGACGCCUACAGCGAGCACUUUCCAGCCCCGAGAGGCGGCUGGUAAUCAGCAAUAGGCGUCGUGAUGGGGAUAGAUCUUUGGAAUUAUGGAUCUUGAACGAGGAAUGCCUAGUAAGCGCAGGUCAUUAGCCUGCGCUGAUUAAGUCCCUGUCCUUUGUACACACCGCCCGUCGCUCCUACCGAUUUCGAGUGGUCCGGUGAAUCUUUCGGACUGCGCGCGGCCUUGAGUCGUGUCGCGGAAAGUCAGGUAAACCUUAUCACUUAGAGGAAGGAGAAGUCGUAACA
RNAcentral lists this ribosomal RNA (319 nucleotides) under uncultured eukaryote. RNAcentral describes it as "partial 18S ribosomal RNA". It matches the Rfam family "Eukaryotic small subunit ribosomal RNA", at positions 1470 to 1796 of the family's 1831-position model. The record is from RNAcentral.